RNAcentral lists this transfer RNA (72 nucleotides) under Heterocephalus glaber (naked mole-rat). It matches the Rfam family "tRNA". From Rfam's summary of the family: Transfer RNA (tRNA) molecules are approximately 80 nucleotides in length. Their secondary structure includes four short double-helical elements and three loops (D, anti-codon, and T loops). Further hydrogen bonds mediate the characteristic L-shaped molecular structure. tRNAs have two regions of fundamental functional importance: the anti-codon, which is responsible for specific mRNA codon recognition, and the 3' end, to which the tRNAs corresponding amino acid is attached (by aminoacyl-tRNA synthetases). tRNAs cope with the degeneracy of the genetic code in two manners: having more than one tRNA (with a specific anti-codon) for a particular amino acid; and 'wobble' base-pairing, i.e. permitting non-standard base-pairing at the 3rd anti-codon position. The record is from Rfam by way of RNAcentral. Lineage: Eukaryota; Metazoa; Chordata; Mammalia; Rodentia; Bathyergidae.
GGGGGUGUAGCUCAGUGAUACAGCACUUGCUUAGCAGGGGUGAGGCCCUGGGUUCAAUCCCAAGCACCACCA